RNAcentral lists this ribosomal RNA (433 nucleotides) under uncultured bacterium. RNAcentral's name for it is "partial 16S ribosomal RNA". It matches the Rfam family "Bacterial small subunit ribosomal RNA", at positions 29 to 507 of the family's 1533-position model. The record is from RNAcentral.
AACGAACGCUGGCGGCAUGCCUAACACAUGCAAGUCGAACGAGACCUUCGGGUCUAGUGGCGCACGGGUGCGUAACGCGUGGGAACCUGCCCUUAGGUUCGGAAUAACUCCCCGAAAGGGGUGCUAAUACCGGAUAAUGUCUUCGGACCAAAGAUUUAUCGCCUUUGGAUGGGCCCGCGUUGGAUUAGCUAGUUGGUAGGGUAAAAGCCUACCAAGGCGACGAUCCAUAGCUGGUCUGAGAGGAUGAUCAGCCACACUGGGACUGAGACACGGCCCAGACUCCUACGGGAGGGAGGAGAGGGGAAUAGUGGACAGUGGGCGGAAGGAUGAUGGAGCAAGGACGGGUGAGUGAUGAAGGCAGUGGGGUUGUAAUGCGUUUUUACCCGGGAUGAUAAUGACAGUACCGGGAGAAUAAGAUCCGACUAACUACGUG